UACGUAGGGGGCAAGCGUUGUCCGGAAUCAUUGGGCGUAAAGCGCGUGUAGGCGGCUUGGUAAGUCCGCUCUGAAAGCCCGGGGCUCAACCCCGGGAGGCGGGUGGAUACUGUCAAGCUCGAGUCCGGAAGAGGCGAGCGGAAUUCCUGGUGUAGCGGUGAAAUGCGCAGAUAUCAGGAGGAACACCGAUGGCGAAGGCAGAUCUCUGGGCCGUAACUGACGCUGAGGAGCGAAAGCAUGGGGAGCGAACAGG
This 253-nucleotide ribosomal RNA is filed under the name uncultured bacterium. RNAcentral's name for it is "partial 16S ribosomal RNA". It matches the Rfam family "Bacterial small subunit ribosomal RNA", at positions 524 to 776 of the family's 1533-position model. The record is from RNAcentral.